This 214-nucleotide unclassified non-coding RNA is filed under the name Hevea brasiliensis (rubber tree). Lineage: Eukaryota; Viridiplantae; Streptophyta; Magnoliopsida; Malpighiales; Euphorbiaceae. The record is from RNAcentral.
GUUGCCAAUGCACACAUACUCCUUCUAGAGAACAGUAAAGCAAAGGGAAGGUACAUUUGCUCUGCUGUUGAAGUUACACCAGAUGAGCUAUUUGACUUCCUCUCAGCUAGGUAUCCUGAAUAUCGAAUACCUAACGUCGAUUCAUUGAGGGAGGUUGGAGGGAUUAAGCAUCCUAGCCUUUCAUCAAAGAAACUUUUGGAUAGUGGAUUCAAAU